Molecule: transfer RNA, 86 nt
Filed under: Chthonomonas sp.
Lineage: Bacteria; Bacillati; Armatimonadota; Chthonomonadia; Chthonomonadales; Chthonomonadaceae
Also listed under: 1 other name
Description: tRNA-Ser
Rfam family: tRNA
About the family: Transfer RNA (tRNA) molecules are approximately 80 nucleotides in length. Their secondary structure includes four short double-helical elements and three loops (D, anti-codon, and T loops).
Source: RNAcentral
GGAGCGAUGGCAGAGUGGUUGAAUGCGGCGGUCUUGAAAACCGUUGAACGCAAGUUCCGGGGGUUCGAAUCCCUCUCGCUCCGCCA